RNAcentral lists this ribosomal RNA (434 nucleotides) under uncultured bacterium. RNAcentral describes it as "partial 16S ribosomal RNA". It matches the Rfam family "Bacterial small subunit ribosomal RNA", at positions 29 to 507 of the family's 1533-position model. The record is from RNAcentral.
AGCGAACGCUGGCGGCAGGCCUAACACAUGCAAGUCGAACGAACCUUUCGGGGUUAGUGGCGGACGGGUGAGUAACACAUUGGAACGUGCCUUUAGGUUCGGAAUAACUCAGGGAAACUUGUGCUAAUACCGAAUGUGCCCUUCGGGGGAAAGAUUAAUCGCCUUUAGAGCGGCCCGCGUCUGUUUAGCUAGUUGGUUGAGGUAAUGGCUCACCAAGGCGACGAUCAGUAGCUGGUCUGAGAGGAUGAUCAGCCACAUUGGGACUGAGACACGGCCCAAACUCCUACGGGAGGCAGCAGUGGGGAAUCUUGCGCAAUGGGCGAAAGCCUGACGCAGCCAUGCCGCGUGAAUGAUGAAGGUCUUAGGAUUGUAAAAUUCUUUCACCGGGGACGAUAAUGACGGUACCCGGAGAAGAAGCCCCGGCUAACUUCGUG